This 286-nucleotide long non-coding RNA is filed under the name Gossypium barbadense (sea-island cotton). Its description in RNAcentral is "long non-coding RNA (GBAR_LNC018502)". Lineage: Eukaryota; Viridiplantae; Streptophyta; Magnoliopsida; Malvales; Malvaceae. The record is from RNAcentral.
AGGGCUAGGCUUCAGCUGAAUGGACCUGCCCCGGAAUUGGACAAUUUGGUGGUAGUGGCGGCCAAGGCCCUGAACUUUUAAGGGGAAGGGCAGGUGAGGAUGACCGGCGUGGCGUUUUCUGGGCAGGUGUUGAUGUAUGGUUUCAUGUACCCAAUUCAAAACUGUGUUGUGAACUGAAAGGGUGACGUCUGUCACUUCCGGGUUUUGUCUGCUUCGCACGGUUCUCAUUAUUAAUUGGAUUGGAUGAAAUCCCACCAAGGGGGACAUACCUCUGUGAAGGGUGGAG